AUUGAACGCUGGCGGCAGGCUUAACACAUGCAAGUCGAGCGGGGUGAUGGUGCUUGCACUAUCACUUAGCGGCGGACGGGUGAGUAAUGCUUAGGAAUUUGCCUAUUAGUGGGGGACAACAUCUCGAAAGGGAUGCUAAUACCGCAUACGUCCUACGGGAGAAAGCAGGGGAUCACUUGUGACCUUGCGCUAAUAGAUGAGCCUAAGUCGGAUUAGCUAGUUGGUGGGGUAAAGGCCUACCAAGGCGACGAUCUGUAGCGGGUCUGAGAGGAUGAUCCGCAACACUGGGACUGAGACACGGCCCAGACUCCUACGGGAGGCAGCAGUGGGGAAUAUUGGACAAUGGGGGGAACCCUGAGCCAGCCAUGCCGCGUGUGUGAAGAAGGCCUUAUGGUUGUAAAGCACUUUAAGCGAGGAGGAGGCUCUUUUGGUUAAUACCCAAGAUGAGUGGACGUUACUCGCAGAAUAAGCACCGGCUAACUCUGUGCCAGCCGCCGCGGUAA
This 503-nucleotide ribosomal RNA is filed under the name uncultured bacterium. RNAcentral describes it as "partial 16S ribosomal RNA". It matches the Rfam family "Bacterial small subunit ribosomal RNA", at positions 30 to 523 of the family's 1533-position model. The record is from RNAcentral.